RNAcentral lists this transfer RNA (74 nucleotides) under Gemmatimonadota bacterium. RNAcentral describes it as "tRNA-Arg". It matches the Rfam family "tRNA". From Rfam's summary of the family: Transfer RNA (tRNA) molecules are approximately 80 nucleotides in length. Their secondary structure includes four short double-helical elements and three loops (D, anti-codon, and T loops). Lineage: Bacteria; Pseudomonadati; Gemmatimonadota. The record is from RNAcentral.
GCGCGGGUAGCUCAGCUGGAUAGAGCGUCGGCCUCCGGAGCCGAAGGUCGUGGGUUCGAAUCCCACCCUGCGCA